Molecule: ribosomal RNA, 1449 nt
Filed under: uncultured bacterium
Lineage: Bacteria
Description: bacterial SSU rRNA
Rfam family: Bacterial small subunit ribosomal RNA
Source: RNAcentral
AGGGUUUGAUCAUGGCUCAAGAUGAACGCUGGCGGCGUGCUUAACACAUGCAAGUCGAACGAACCUUCGGGUUAGUGGCGGACGGGUGAGUAACGCGUGAGAAUCUGCCCUCAGGAGGGGGAUAACGGUUGGAAACGACCGCUAAUACCCCAUAUGCCUACUGGUGAAAUGAAUUUCGCCUGAGGAUGAGCUCGCGUCUGAUUAGCUAGUUGGUGAGGUAAUGGCUCACCAAGGCUUCGAUCAGUAGCUGGUCUGAGAGGAUGAUCAGCCACACUGGGACUGAGACACGGCCCAGACUCCUACGGGAGGCAGCAGUGGGGAAUUUUCCGCAAUGGGCGAAAGCCUGACGGAGCAACGCCGCGUGAGGGACGAAGGCCUCUGGGCUGUAAACCUCUUUUCUCAAGGAAGAAGAUAUGACGGUACUUGAGGAAUAAGCCACGGCUAAUUCCGUGCCAGCAGCCGCGGUAAUACGGGAGUGGCAAGCGUUAUCCGGAAUUAUUGGGCGUAAAGCGUCCGCAGGCGGCUUUUCAAGUCUGCUGUUAAAGCGUGGAGCUUAACUCCAUCAUGGCAGUGGAAACUGAAAGGCUUGAGUAUGGUAGGGGCAGAGGGAAUUCCCGGUGUAGCGGUGAAAUGCGUAGAUAUCGGGAAGAACACCAGUGGCGAAGGCGCUCUGCUGGGCCAUUACUGACGCUCAUGGACGAAAGCCAGGGGAGCGAAAGGGAUUAGAUACCCCUGUAGUCCUGGCCGUAAACGAUGAACACUAGGUGUCGGGGGAAUCGACCCCUUCGGUGUCGUAGCUAACGCGUUAAGUGUUCCGCCUGGGGAGUACGCACGCAAGUGUGAAACUCAAAGGAAUUGACGGGGGCCCGCACAAGCGGUGGAGUAUGUGGUUUAAUUCGAUGCAACGCGAAGAACCUUACCAGGGUUUGACAUCCUGCGAACCUCUUAGAAAUUUGAGGGUGCCUUCGGGAAUGCAGUGACAGGUGGUGCAUGGCUGUCGUCAGCUCGUGUCGUGAGAUGUUGGGUUAAGUCCCGCAACGAGCGCAACCCACGUUUUUAGUUGCCAGCAUUUAGUUGGGCACUCUAGAAAGACCGCCGGUGAUAAACCGGAGGAAGGUGUGGAUGACGUCAAGUCAUCAUGCCCCUUACACCCUGGGCUACACACGUACUACAAUGCUACGGACAAAGGGCAGCAAACUCGCGAGAGCUAGCAAAUCCCAUAAACCGUGGCUCAGUUCAGAUCGUAGGCUGCAACUCGCCUACGUGAAGUAGGAAUCGCUAGUAAUCGCAGGUCAGCAUACUGCGGUGAAUACGUUCCCGGGCCUUGUACACACCGCCCGUCACACCAUGGAAGUUGGCCAUGCCCGAAGUCGUUACUCCAACCCUUGUGGAGGAGGACGCCGAAGGUGGGGCUAAUGACUGGGGUGAAGUCAUAACAAGGUAACCGUA